RNAcentral lists this ribosomal RNA (253 nucleotides) under uncultured bacterium. RNAcentral describes it as "partial 16S ribosomal RNA". It matches the Rfam family "Bacterial small subunit ribosomal RNA", at positions 524 to 776 of the family's 1533-position model. The record is from RNAcentral.
GACAGAGGGUGCAAACGUUGUUCGGAAUUACUGGGCGUAAAGCGCGUGUAGGCGGCUCUGCAAGUCGGAUGUGAAAUCCCACGGCUCAACCAUGGAAGUGCAUUCGAAACUGCAGGGCUAGAGUCCUGGAGAGGAAGGUGGAAUGCUUGGUGUAGAGGUGAAAUUCGUAGAUGUCAAGCGGAACACCGGUGGCGAAGGCGGCCUUCUGGACAGUGACUGACGCUGAGACGCGAAAGCGUGGGGAGCAAAAGGG